Molecule: regulatory RNA element, 132 nt
Organism: Clostridium tepidiprofundi DSM 19306
Lineage: Bacteria; Bacillati; Bacillota; Clostridia; Eubacteriales; Clostridiaceae
Rfam family: Ribosomal protein L10 leader
About the family: This family is a putative r-protein leader autoregulatory structure found in B. subtilis and other low-GC Gram-positive bacteria. It is located in the 5' untranslated regions of mRNAs encoding ribosomal proteins L10 and L12 (rplJ-rplL). A Rho-independent transcription terminator structure that is probably involved in regulation is included at the 3' end.
Source: Rfam
UGUAAUAUAGAAUAUAUUCCGUAGACAGUAGGUGCUAGUUGAUAGCGUAAAGAUUGAUUCGCCUACCGAGGAUUCCAAUGCUUAGAAGUAAUGGUUUCUUCGUUUUGCGGAGAAACCUUUAAUUUUUUAAAA